AUAUAGAAGGUUGUUGCUGGUUCCUUGUAUUAGGGGCAUGUGCACGCCUUUUAUCUCUUUAUCCACCUGUGCACCUUUUGUAGGACUUGGUCAGAGUGCUUGCAAGUUUCUUUAUGAGACAAGCUUCACUUGGAAUCUCAAGCAUCCUAUGAUUAUCAUUACACUCUUUAAAUGUAUGUUGGUUGGCUUAAUAUAAAAUACAACUUUCAACAAUGGAUCUCUUGGUUCUCGCAUCGAUGAAGAACGCAGCGAAAUGCGAUAAGUAAUGUGAAUUGCAGAUCUCAGUGAAUCAUCGAAUCUUUGAACGCAUCUUGCGCUCUUUGGUAUUCCAAAGGGCAUGCCUGUUUGAGUGUCAUUAAAUUCUCAAAGCAAGGUUCACUUGUGGACCUUUGCUUUGGACUUGAAGAUUGCUGGCUUUUAAUAGGUUAGCUUCUUUGAAAUACAUUAGUAAGGUGUAUCUUUCACUUGGUGUGAUAAGUUAUCUACGCCUGGGAGAUAGAUUCAAACUUGCUUAUAACCUUUACCAUUUGACCUUUGACCUCAAAUCAGGUAAGACUACCCGCUGAACUUAAGCAUAUC
This 579-nucleotide ribosomal RNA is filed under the name Cyptotrama sp. SP_11_84. RNAcentral's name for it is "eukaryotic LSU rRNA". The stretch from base 202 to 355 matches the Rfam family "5.8S ribosomal RNA". Lineage: Eukaryota; Fungi; Basidiomycota; Agaricomycetes; Agaricales; Physalacriaceae. The record is from RNAcentral.